GAUGAACGCUAGCGGGAGGCUUAACACAUGCAAGUCGAGGGGCAUCACGAGGUAGCAAUACUUUGGUGGCGACCGGCGCACGGGUGAGUAACGCGUAUGCAACCUACCCAGUACAGGGAGAUAGCCCGGAGAAAUUCGGACUAAUAUUCCAUAAUGAUAUCGGAAGGCAUCUUUUGGUAUUUAAAGCUUCGGCGGUACGGGAUGGGCAUGCGGAACAUUAGCUAGUUGGCAGGGUAACGGCCUACCAAGGCUACGAUGUUUAGGGGACCUGAGAGGGUGAUCCCCCA
This 287-nucleotide ribosomal RNA is filed under the name uncultured Bacteroidota bacterium. RNAcentral's name for it is "uncultured Bacteroidetes bacterium partial 16S ribosomal RNA". It matches the Rfam family "Bacterial small subunit ribosomal RNA", at positions 28 to 310 of the family's 1533-position model. The record is from RNAcentral. Lineage: Bacteria; Pseudomonadati; Bacteroidota.